GGGCGUGCCUAAUACAUGCAAGUCGAACGAACUCUGGUAUUGAUUGGUGCUUGCAUCAUGAUUUACAUUUGAGUGAGUGGCGAACUGGUGAGUAACACGUGGGAAACCUGCCCAGAAGCGGGGGAUAACACCUGGAAACAGAUGCUAAUACCGCAUAACAACUUGGACCGCAUGGUCCGAGUUUGAAAGAUGGCUUCGGCUAUCACUUUUGGAUGGUCCCGCGGCGUAUUAGCUAGAUGGUGGGGUAACGGCUCACCAUGGCAAUGAUACGUAGCCGACCUGAGAGGGUAAUCGGCCACAUUGGGACUGAGACACGGCCCAAACUCCUACGGGAGGCAGCAGUAGGGAAUCUUCCACAAUGGACGAAAGUCUGAUGGAGCAACGCCGCGUGAGUGAAGAAGGGUUUCGGCUCGUAAAACUCUGUUGUUAAAGAAGAACAUAUCUGAGAGUAACUGUUCAGGUAUUGACGGUAUUUAACCAGAAAGCCACGGCUAACUACGUGCCAGCAGCCGCGGUAAUACGUAGGUGGCAAGCGUUGUCCGGAUUUAUUGGGCGUAAAGCGAGCGCAGGCGGUUUUUUAAGUCUGAUGUGAAAGCCUUCGGCUCAACCGAAGAAGUGCAUCGGAAACUGGGAAACUUGAGUGCAGAAGAGGACAGUGGAACUCCAUGUGUAGCGGUGAAAUGCGUAGAUAUAUGGAAGAACACCAGUGGCGAAGGCGGCUGUCUGGUCUGUAACUGACGCUGAGGCUCGAAAGUAUGGGUAGCAAACAGGAUUAGAUACCCUGGUAGUCCAUACCGUAAACGAUGAAUGCUAAGUGUUGGAGGGUUUCCGCCCUUCAGUGCUGCAGCUAACGCAUUAAGCAUUCCGCCUGGGGAGUACGGCCGCAAGGCUGAAACUCAAAGGAAUUGACGGGGGCCCGCACAAGCGGUGGAGCAUGUGGUUUAAUUCGAAGCUACGCGAAGAACCUUACCAGGUCUUGACAUACUAUGCAAAUCUAAGAGAUUAGACGUUCCCUUCGGGGACAUGGAUACAGGUGGUGCAUGUUGUCGUCAGCUCGUGUCGUGAGAUGUUGGGUUAAGUCCCGCAACGAGCGCAACCCUUAUUAUCAGUUGCAGCAUUAAGUUGGGCACUCUGGUGAGACUGCCGGUGACAAACCGGAGGAAGGUGGGGAUGACGUCAAAUCAUCAUGCCCCUUAUGACCUGGGCUACACACGUGCUACAAUGGAUGGUACAACGAGUUGCGAACUCGCGAGAGUAAGCUAAUCUCUUAAAGCCAUUCUCAGUUCGGAUUGUAGGCUGCAACUCGCCUACAUGAAGUCGGAAUCGCUAGUAAUCGCGGAUCAGCAUGCCGCGGUGAAUACGUUCCCGGGCCUUGUACACACCGCCCGUCACACCAUGAGAGUUUGUAACACCCAAAGUCGGUGGGGUAACCUUUUAGGAACCAGCCGCCUAAGGUGGGACAGAUGAUUAGGGUGAAGUCGUAACAAGGUA
Molecule: ribosomal RNA, 1491 nt
Filed under: Lactiplantibacillus pentosus
Lineage: Bacteria; Bacillati; Bacillota; Bacilli; Lactobacillales; Lactobacillaceae
Description: bacterial SSU rRNA
Rfam family: Bacterial small subunit ribosomal RNA
Source: RNAcentral